GCCAGGCAUGAUGGCUCAUGCCUGUAAUCCCAGCACUUUGGGAGGCCGAGGUGGGCGGAUCACCUGAGGUCAGGAGUUCAAGACCAGCCUGACCAACAUGGUGAAACCCCAUCUCUA
Unclassified non-coding RNA from Macaca mulatta (Rhesus monkey), 117 nucleotides. It matches the Rfam family "Metazoan signal recognition particle RNA". Rfam says of the family: The signal recognition particle (SRP) is a universally conserved ribonucleoprotein. It is involved in the co-translational targeting of proteins to membranes. NCBI's taxonomy places the organism in Eukaryota, Metazoa, Chordata, Mammalia, Primates, Cercopithecidae. The record is from Ensembl.